UAAUCGGAACGUGCCCUAGAGUGGGGGAUAACGUAGCGAAAGUUACGCUAAUACCGCAUACGAUCUAAGGAUGAAAGUGGGGGAUCGCAAGACCUCAUGCUCGUGGAGCGGCCGAUAUCUGAUUAGCUAGUUGGUAGGGUAAAAGCCUACCAAGGCAUCGAUCAGUAGCUGGUCUGAGAGGACGACCAGCCACACUGGAACUGAGACACGGUCCAG
RNAcentral lists this ribosomal RNA (216 nucleotides) under uncultured bacterium. RNAcentral describes it as "partial 16S ribosomal RNA". It matches the Rfam family "Bacterial small subunit ribosomal RNA", at positions 115 to 334 of the family's 1533-position model. The record is from RNAcentral.